This 253-nucleotide ribosomal RNA is filed under the name uncultured bacterium. Its description in RNAcentral is "partial 16S ribosomal RNA". It matches the Rfam family "Bacterial small subunit ribosomal RNA", at positions 524 to 776 of the family's 1533-position model. The record is from RNAcentral.
UACGUAGGGUGCAGGCGUUAAUCGGAAUUACUGGGCGUAAAGCGUGCGCAGGCGGUCUUUUAAGUCAGAUGUGAAAUCCCCGGGCUUAACCUGGGAACUGCGUUUGAAACUGGAAGGCUUGAGUGCGGCAGAGGGGGGUGGAAUUCCACGUGUAGCAGUGAAAUGCGUAGAGAUGUGGAGGAACACCGAUGGCGAAGGCAGCCCCCUGGGCUAACACUGACGCUCAUGCACGAAAGCGUGGGGAGCAAACAGG